GGGGAGGCGUGCCGUGCUCACCCUGGUCACCCAGGCCAUCACAGAGGUGGCGGGUCCCCAGCAUCAGGAGGCCCAGCUCAAAGCCGUACCCCUCAACCUGGCCCGCAUACUGCUGGUUCUAGACUACCUGUUGCACCAGUACUCUAAGGUUCCUAUGUACCUCUUCCAACAGGUCCAGUACAAUCUGCUGACCCCUCCGUGGUCAGGCCAGGGUUCAGUCCAGGACGGAUCCAAACGCAGCGCCCUGCCGCUCUACUGCGGCUUUAAAGAGGUGGAGGAGAACUGGUCUAAGCACUGCUCGGCAGGUAGGAAUUCCACAGUAGUGCAACCCAAAU
Molecule: long non-coding RNA, 335 nt
Organism: Oncorhynchus gorbuscha (pink salmon)
Lineage: Eukaryota; Metazoa; Chordata; Actinopteri; Salmoniformes; Salmonidae
Exons: 4
Source: RefSeq, a predicted model, not a curated record